RNAcentral lists this non-coding RNA (161 nucleotides) under uncultured Terrisporobacter sp. RNAcentral's name for it is "Lysine riboswitch". It matches the Rfam family "Lysine riboswitch aptamer". Rfam says of the family: Riboswitches are metabolite binding domains within certain messenger RNAs that serve as precision sensors for their corresponding targets. Lineage: Bacteria; Bacillati; Bacillota; Clostridia; Peptostreptococcales; Peptostreptococcaceae. The record is from RNAcentral.
AAGGUAGAGGCGCUGUACUUAAUAGUACUUGUAAAUGACUGGCAAGUAAUGAUUUACAAGGAAAGGAAUUGCAGCCGAAGAAAUCUUAUAGGCAUAUAAGGUUUCUGGACUUAUACAAAAUAUGUAUAAGGCUGUCACUUUUUAUAAGUGUUGAGCUACAA